GGACGAUUUAAGUGAAAACGGUGUUAGACAAUAAAUAUUUUUAACUAGAAACUGCAAAAAUGGUGAAUCGCUGUGUGGUGUGCAAAAAAAUCAGCAGUAAAAGCAGUGGGAAAUCCAUGCACCGAAUGCCUACUGAUAGUGCUCGACAGAAAUUAUGGAUGAACCAGUUAAAACUGAAAAUUUUAGAAUCUUCCAAAUGGCUAUAUGUUUGCUCUGACCAUUUCUGUGACGAAGAUUUCAUCCUUAAAUUUGGAAAAAAAUGUUUGAAAACUGAAGCUAUUCCAUCCAGGAUUUCAUUGCCUGAUCCUUGUUCAAGUAACACAUUAGCGGCUUCAGACGAAAGGUAUAUGACCCAGGACCCAUCAGAUGUUGGUAAAGUUGGGGAGUCCUCAAAAUUGAUUGGUUCUGAAUUAUCAGAAACUUCAGAUUUGUCUGCUACGGCAAGUGCUUCAGAUUUAUCUGCCACAUUGACUGCUUCCGAUUUAUCUGCUACAGACAUGUCUGUUGCUUUGGCCGCUUCAGAUUUAUCAGGCAAAGUCGAUUCCUUAGAAGUAUUUGAUACUGAAAAAUUUGCAGCACCACAUACAAAUACUUCAUGUUGCACAUCGACUGCUUCAGAUGGAAGGAGUGUGACCUAGACACAAAAGGUGCUGCAAAGUCAUUUAUUCUAUUUCAUAUAUGAAUACAACAAAAUAGUGAAUUGCAAUGAUCGCACCAGUCUGUUGAUACCCCUCAUCAAAGAAACUACGUGUAUUUCCUUUAUUUUCAAAUUUGAUAGUAUCUGUCCAUUGUCAUGUUGUCAAACUUUCAGAAUCCUAUUGUUUCGUUUAUAUAUUCUAUUUUCCAGAACUAUAUGUACUAAAAAUGAUUGAUAAUUUUUAUCUUGAAAUAGUGUGGUACUCACCACAUAUUCAAUUGUGCAGAAUGGUUGAAAACAAAAUAAUACUUGAUUCAAGUUCAGCAAUGAAUUCAGUAAUCUAAUAAAAGAAUUAUGCUUUCUAAUUAGUCCCUCUUAUUAUAAAUGUUGCAUAUAAAUGUUGUGCUACAGGAUUAUUGUGAUAUGUUUUUAUAAAGGAAUUUUUUGUCAGUAUUAAGUUUUCAAUCAUUUAAUAAGAACAUUCAAUCAUUUAAAUUUUAAGUAUAAUUUUGAUAAAGACGCAUUAACUAUUUUGAGAAUUGUCAGAGUCUUAAUUAAUUUUGUGAGCUCCUUAUUGACCUAUUAAUUUAUGUCAUUGUACUGUAAUGUUUUUCCGGAUGGAGUUGUAUAAUAUUAAUUAAGAAUUGUUCUUAUAAGAUUUUGUUCAUUAUUUCUAUAGGAAUAUUUCUUCUAUUCCUGUUCGACUACAAAAGCAAAUUUUAAUGAAUUAUUGUAAUUAAUUUCUAAAUACAAUGUAGAAAA
Molecule: RNA transcript, 1399 nt
Organism: Coccinella septempunctata (seven-spotted ladybird)
Lineage: Eukaryota; Metazoa; Arthropoda; Insecta; Coleoptera; Coccinellidae
Gene name: THAP domain-containing protein 5-like
Exons: 6
Source: RefSeq, a predicted model, not a curated record